Molecule: long non-coding RNA, 293 nt
Organism: Melitaea cinxia (Glanville fritillary)
Lineage: Eukaryota; Metazoa; Arthropoda; Insecta; Lepidoptera; Nymphalidae
Exons: 4
Source: RefSeq, a predicted model, not a curated record
CAAACGCCGUUCGCAGUCGUGUCUUCGGGUCGUAUAAAUAAUAUUUUAGUUAAAUAAUAUCGCUGUGUCUAUGUGCUGAUAACGGAUAUACGAUUUUAAAGUCAAUCAUGUUACUCGCGGCGUGCUUGGUUUUUCUCUUGAGCUGUCAAACGGGAUCUUCUCAGAACUUGGGUGACGCCUGUGUGAUAGAGGACACAAACCGAGCUGGUGUCUGCAAGCAAGCUUCCAAAUGUGACUCCGCUCGGGCAGCUUACCAAAACAACGGUAUCAAGCCGACCUUUUGUUCACUGACC